GACGUCACCCAGCCCCCCACCUGUCUCCAAAUGGACCCAAAAUGGUACCGUUCGUUUGUGCUUCGUUUGUGCAGGUUUGUGCAGCAAAAAUUUUCGUUUGUGCUGCUUCCGUUUCGGAGAUAUUACACAUUUAUUUUAUAGCGAUGACGUCUGGUAGCCCCGCCCCCUUGUUUACUUCCAAACGACCCAAAAUAGUGCCGUUCGUUCGUUUGUGUUUCGUUUGUGCUGCAAAAAUUGUACCGAUUGUGCCGGCUGCUACGGUUUUGCAGAUAUUACACAUUUAAUUCAUAGCGAAGACGUCACCCAGCCCCACGUCACUGUAUUUUGUCGCGAAUUUCAAGCUCCUGGAAUGCUCCUGAUGCAGGACGAAUACAAGGUCAUUAUAGAUCUCCCAGGCAUAUGCAGUCCUCCUGCAGUAUGCCACACAAUGCCCGAGAGAAUCCUGGGUCAGUCCUGGUUCAAAGCCAAUGACUGCUCUCAAAGUAAAGGUCUUCUCUUUUAGCUCCAGACUGGAGGGAAAUUCAAGCAAGGCAACUUCCUUGCAACUGCUACCAAGAGUUUUGAAUGAAGACGGACACCGGGAAGGAUUUUCAAUUGGCCUGAGGCAGAGAGAGUCAGGAAGGCUGAGUCCCUCUUCAGCAGCAGUCUGAAGAGAAGCCAUGCCACAGUGGAGAUGUGGCAUUGUGCAUCAAUUUGGAGAGCACCAGAGGUCAGGAGGACAGGUUUGAAUAUUUCCCCCAGCAGUUCUGCCCUCUGUGAGUAUACCUGUGGGUUCACACUCUGUGUUGUGAUGGUUUUCACCAGGUGGAGGAAUUGGUUCCCACGGUCAUAGUUCAGAACAGUCUUUUCAAAUGAAAAACUUUCACAGAAAGAACAGCAUAAGCAUUGCAAGACAGAAUCAAAUGCACAAGUAUUGAGCACAAACACUUUUGAUGUGCGAAGUUUAACAGGCUGUUGAUGGUUCCCGUUUUUCAACAAUGGUACCUUGACUUUUUUCCAGCCACUUGUGUGUCAAUAUGCAGCCAUUCAGGACAAGGAGAGAGAUAUGAAGUUAUCUUUCUUUUUUUGGGUGGGACCGCUAAACCUCUCCAGUUUUCAACUGCACUGUCAGUAGAUGCAUCUGGCUCCGCUCCAGGAUGAGAUUUUUC
Molecule: long non-coding RNA, 1148 nt
Organism: Syngnathus typhle (broad-nosed pipefish)
Lineage: Eukaryota; Metazoa; Chordata; Actinopteri; Syngnathiformes; Syngnathidae
Exons: 4
Source: RefSeq, a predicted model, not a curated record